Long non-coding RNA from Vidua chalybeata, 295 nucleotides. RefSeq lists it as uncharacterized. The transcript is spliced from 3 exons. The record is from RefSeq and is a predicted model, not a curated record. NCBI's taxonomy places the organism in Eukaryota, Metazoa, Chordata, Aves, Passeriformes, Viduidae.
GUGGAGCCCAGCAGCAGCGAUGUCCCUGUGCCCCGUCCCUGCAGAGAGGGAGAGCAGGACCCUGCACCUGGACGAGCAUCGAAGUUCUGUGCUGGAGGCAACAGCAGAGGUUUGUGACAGUGGUGACUUGAUGAGACCCUCUCCCCCUGGUGACAACCCCUGUUUGCUGCCCAGCAGGCUUGGGGUGAAAAUCGAUGAGAUCCACGCAGGUACACAAGAAAAAUGAAGCUCCCGGUAGCAAUCCUGCGCCUGCACAGAAUUGUCAGCAGAUUACUUUGGUUCCAGGGCUUUGGUG